This 253-nucleotide ribosomal RNA is filed under the name uncultured bacterium. RNAcentral's name for it is "partial 16S ribosomal RNA". It matches the Rfam family "Bacterial small subunit ribosomal RNA", at positions 524 to 776 of the family's 1533-position model. The record is from RNAcentral.
UACAGAGGGUGCGAGCGUUGUUCGGAAUUACUGGGCGUAAAGCGCGUGUAGGCGGCAAGCCAAGUCGGGUGUGAAAGCCCUGGGCUCAACCCAGGAAGUGCAUUCGAUACUGGCAAGCUAGAGUCCCGGAGAGGAUGGUGGAACUCUCGGUGUAGAGGUGAAAUUCGUAGAUAUCGAGAAGAACACCGGUGGCGAAGGCGGCCAUCUGGACGGUGACUGACGCUGAGACGCGAAAGCGUGGGGAGCAAACAGG